UAGUAACCUACUUGCCUAAGUAGGUGCAUCACCUACUUAAUUUAUGUGGACCAAAAAAAAUAGGGGUAAAAAGGAAAAAGCAAACAGUAGGGGGUCGGUUUGGGCCUUAGAAGGCCAAGCCUGAUUUUAUCUUCUCAUUUUCUCUUCUUCUCUCCUCUCUCUCCACCAGCAACCCAUAUGUUUUUCCUCUCUCUUCCAAUCUAGUUGAACUCCCAAAACACUCCCAAAGAGUUCACACAUGAUCCUAGAGUAAAUCCAAAGGUAAACAACAUAGAUCUUGCUUUGGAGGAUCCAUAAUACAAGUAUAGUUGUACUCUUCUCUUAGUUGUUGGAUCUGAAGUUCUUUCAAGAGGAAGUAAGGUAAAGCUAAGAAGUAUGGGCUGUACAUAUUUGUGCGUCCCGUACAUGGAUCAUGUACGUCAAUUGCAAGAGACAGAAUGCUCCAGUUUUGGAAGACGAGGUAGGGGCAAAAAGGACGGGACGUACUUUGAAGUACGAUCCGUAAAUGUAGCCCGUACUUGUUGACCUAAUUCUUGAAGAAGUAUGGGACGUACUUAAUUGUACAUCCCGUACUUUGUUCUGUCGGGGCAAUUUUGUCUUCAAGAAGAUUCUAAGUUUUUGGACUUUAUAAAUAGUUUCUUAUUGGGUUUUAUGUAUCAUUCAUUAUUAGUUUUAGACUUUAUUCUCCUAACAUUGAAUACUCUAUUGAUUUUGGAGCUUUGGAGAAUAAGGCAA
Long non-coding RNA from Lycium barbarum (goji berry), 735 nucleotides. RefSeq lists it as uncharacterized. NCBI's taxonomy places the organism in Eukaryota, Viridiplantae, Streptophyta, Magnoliopsida, Solanales, Solanaceae. The transcript is spliced from 2 exons. The record is from RefSeq and is a predicted model, not a curated record.